This 476-nucleotide ribosomal RNA is filed under the name uncultured soil bacterium. Its description in RNAcentral is "bacterial SSU rRNA". It matches the Rfam family "Bacterial small subunit ribosomal RNA", at positions 26 to 488 of the family's 1533-position model. The record is from RNAcentral.
AGAACGAACGUUAGCGGCGCGCCUAACACAUGCAAGUCGCACGAGAAAGGGCUUCGGCCCCGGUACAGUGGCGCACGGGUGAGUAACACGUAGAUCAUCUCCCCUCGAGUGGUGGAUAACUCUCCGAAAGGAGAGCUAAUACAGCAUGAGACCACGGCUUCGUUGAAGCUGCGGCCAAAGCAGGCCUCUACACGUAAGCUUGCGCUUGAGGAUGAGUCUGCGGCCCAUCAGCUAGUUGGUAGGGUAAUGGCCUACCAAGGCUAAGACGGGUAGCUGGUCUGAGAGGAUGAACAGCCACACUGGAACUGAGACACGGUCCAGACUCCUACGGGAGGCAGCAGUGGGGAAUCUUGCGCAAUGGCGAAAGCCUGACGCAGCGACGCCGCGUGAGCGAUGAAGGCCUUGGGUUGUAAGCUCUGUGGGAGGAAGAAGUAAGGCUUGGCUAAUAUCCAAGCUGAUGACGUACCUCCUUAGAC